This 18-nucleotide ribosomal RNA is filed under the name Monilinia laxa. RNAcentral describes it as "partial 18S ribosomal RNA". Lineage: Eukaryota; Fungi; Ascomycota; Leotiomycetes; Helotiales; Sclerotiniaceae. The record is from RNAcentral.
GCCUGCGGAAGGAUCAUU